GUGGCGCAGUGGAAUAUUUAUCAAAUUAGUCAUAGUUCAGGCACGGUUAGAUUGCCAUUACGUUGUAAAAAUGCCGUUGGUUUAGUUUAUUUAUAACAAAUAAAGCCGUAAACUUUAAUCAUAACAUAACAAUGGCAUAAAAGCCAAGUAUUCCUGGAAAGAAUGUACAAUUCUUUCAACCUAAGAUAAUGACACAUCACAUUCAGUAUCAGCUACUGCUACCGAGUCAUUGAUAGAUUUGUCAUAUGACUUUGAGACCGAAUUCUGUGAACUGGAUUUAUUACCCGAUGAAGUAACAUGGUCAUCCACAGGAGCAACGGAUGCAAUUUGUUCUGCUUGAUCUGCAAUGUGACAAUGUUUUUGCCCUAAGGAAACCAAGGCAGCUAUCUAAAUAAACACAAAGACUCUGUUUCAUUUA
This is a long non-coding RNA of Cephus cinctus (wheat stem sawfly), 418 nucleotides long. RefSeq lists it as uncharacterized. Lineage: Eukaryota; Metazoa; Arthropoda; Insecta; Hymenoptera; Cephidae. The record is from RefSeq and is a predicted model, not a curated record. The transcript has 2 exons.